RNAcentral lists this long non-coding RNA (334 nucleotides) under Amphimedon queenslandica. Its description in RNAcentral is "uncharacterized LOC109581972, transcript variant X1". The record is from RNAcentral. Lineage: Eukaryota; Metazoa; Porifera; Demospongiae; Haplosclerida; Niphatidae.
UUUAAUUAAUAGGUCCCAUCCCAAGAGGCCACAUUACCGGAGGGUGUGGGUGGACAGGAGGCACUAGACAUUUGAGGAGGGGGUGUGUCUACAUGAAGUUGAGCAUGAGAGCGUCUAUGUCUGGCGUGAGAAAUUAUACAAAUUGAUUCCGCCUUCUUUCAGGUCUCAAAUUGCUGCCAGAUCCAAAGUAAUUAUCAAAAUAUACUAAAAGGAAAGAUUCCAACAGAAGAUUCCCUCCCUGAUAGUUCAUGGAGUACAUUGAAGGCAAUAUUAAGACAAAAUAUUAAUAAAUUUGGAAACAUUUACUAUAGAUUUGUAUCUAGAGAACACAUUA